CAGGAGGCUUGGGAGGAGCAGAAGGGGAGGGAGGCGCGAUGAAAACACAGGCCAUCAAAAGAGAGGGCCUCGAAAGAGGCAAGAGCAGAGCGGAGCCUCCGGGCUGAAGGCCAGCUUUUCUCUGCGCCCUCCUAGAUGCACGGGUCUGCUGCCUCUCCCCAAACCCCCAGAUCUCUAAGUAUCAGAACAGCCCACACUGGGCAUCAGACAUGUGAGCGUGGCCCCCGCAGAGACAGGGAGCCGGCCUCCUUCCCUCUCCUGCCAGCUCCCACAAUUGGGUGGGCGGAUGGUGCUCCGCUGAGAUCAGCUAAACAGGCCCACCUCUGAUGUGCGAAGCCCUCCUUUUACACAGCCAUGAGUGCCUGAAAGCUUGGGAGCAUAAAUCAAUGCCAGGCAAAGGAGUCCUCAUUGAAAUUCACCAGGAAAAAUGCAUCGCUGAGGAUCCUAGAGUGAGUUCCUCUCCACAGACAACAGUUGCCCCAGACAUGGCUCUUGCAUCAGCACACAGUGGAGCGGUUGGAAGUGGGCCCACUCCGACUAUGGAACUUCAUCAGGAGGAUGUUCUGGCCGCGCCAGGGGGGAAGUGAGGAUCUGGGAAGAGGGUACCAGCUAGGACCCAAUGGAGCAUGCCAUCUGGAACCAUGGGGUGGCUACAGCUUGCAGGAGAUGGGCUUGGAGGAAAAGCAUGGCCAGGAUGGAGCCAGACCUCACAGUGUGCACCCCAAACCCACAGCCCCUCUCCCCAGCCCAGCGCCCUCCAGGAGCUACUGGAUCUCUCUCUCCUGCCUCCCCAACUGUUUCCUUAGUGUGAUUGUGCAGAAUGAUUUGUGGGCCUGACAAGUUGAAUUGUGGGUAAAGCACUGUCCAAAUGGGGAGCAAAUUGGAACUGCAGCUCCAGCUGGCAGGCCAUCCAUCACGGGAAAGGCUCGUCAGCACCUCCCUGCCCCGCCCAGCCUGGGCCCCUCACUGUGCCUGCCCCAGGGGUGAAGGUGUCUCCUCUCUCCACCUAGGGUCUGAGGGGCCAUGGGUAACAUGGGAGUAGGGGUCUGGGACUAGGGACCUAAUUGGAGGAGAGACCGGGAAGAGGAGGACUAUUCUGUGCAUUCGUUGGGUCUCCUUUAGGCCUUUCCAUCGCAUUUUUUUUGCUGAUGAAUUUCACAUAAGCCUCCCAAGAGUUGUAUUAUUUACAAAUUGGGAAACUGAGGCACAGUACUGUCGGGUGACAGGCCCAACCCUGCACUGCAUUAGCAGAGACUAGAGCAUGAAAUUUACUGCCAGAAUACCUGGAAUUCUUAACAAAGCAGUAGUUUCUUGCAACAGGGAAAAAUUCAAAAGCAAAUAAAUAUUCCAUCUGGCACAACUCCUAGUUCCUGGAGCUGACACCUUAGUGGCUCCAUUAUGGACCAAUGAGGUGAUGGAGCUGCAAAAAUGCCUGUAACCUGCAGGCCCUGCCUUGAGGGACUCACUGUCUGUGCCAGGAGCUGUUCCCCUUCUAGGAGAACCCUCUCCUUGCCCGCGCCCUGCCCAACCUCUGACAGCCCACUCCUCAGUCCAUGUGACCCAGCUCCUGGCCACGCUGAUCAGGCCGGAGGUGGUCACCUGAGCCAGGCUAUCUCCUCGUAGCCUGCCCACUGACCUUUGACUUGGGCUGUCCCUGAAAAAGAUGAGCUAAGCCAAUUACAUGUAAAGAAUUUGGAAUUGGGAUCCUGAGCAACCCAAUCAGGUAGCAGAGUGAGCCCAGCUGAUAGGUCACAGGUAACCUCUGGACUCUUCUUUCUCAGAGGCCAAACUAUCCAGACCCUGCUUACUUUCCCCUGCCUCUCCCUCAGCUCCGGGUCCAGAAACCUCUGUGCCUGUGGAAGAGGGGGGGAAGCUGCCACACUUGCUCUCUGGCACCCCACAUGUGCCCAAGCUACUGAACUGUUUAUCCACAUGAGUCAUUUCCGUUUCCCCCUGAGACCUGGGUUUGGAAACAGAACCCAAGCACAGACGGCUGUCUCUCCCUUUAUGCUGAGUCAUCCCUUCCUUGAGACAACAGCUGAGCUGUCCUGCUGACUACUGAAAGAAGUGGCCAAGGUUGGGGCUGGAGAGGAGCCACGGAACAUGAAUUGGCAUUCCCAUACGUUAUCCUGUCACACAAGGUUACCUGUGGCCCAGGACCCCAAAUGCGAAAGCAUCAGGAAGGGAGAGAGCUCCACUCUGCCUCCUCCAAGGGCGGGGGCGUGUAUGCGUGGCCCCUCUCUGCAGACCUCUGUGCUCCCGAUUUCAUUUUUGUGGAGCCUUUUCUGACUGUCCUGGCCCUGGGCUUCUCAUGACGUGUUGGAUUAGUGCUGAAAGUCUGACUGUUUGUACAAAGUGCUUUUGUAUCUGUUUCAAUCAGGGUUUAAGUUCAGGAAACCGAAGACAUGGGGAUUUUAAGAAGAGAGGCAAUUAACAUGGGGAAUUAGGUGCUUACGAAGUCAUCGGAGGUGUUGGAACAGUCAGCAUUAGGCUUGCAUCCAGCAAUGAGUAAAGAAUGGCCGAACUGGCCCCAUCAGGAAGGGGAGGAAUCAGAGCCACCACCAGACACGCCACUCUAGCUGCAAUCCAGUGUCUGAAGCUGCUGUCACCACCAUCCCGCGUCUGGGCCCCAUAAAGCUGGUGACUGGACAUUGGAAUGCCAUGGGCCCAUGAGCCUACCUGCCACCAGCAACUAGGUAACAGAUGAGGAAGCUGGCUCAGCCUCACUUCCGCCCUGCAACCCUCACGUGGGUGCAUGCAUUCAGCAGAACCUAGCUCAUGAACGAAAGCCCUAAGGCGCACGGGAGCCACAGUUUUUAGCUUUGUAGCCUCUGCGGCACCAGAAGGCAUGGAAUGGAUGCUGAGUCCAAGCACAAAUCUCAGAGCCCAAUUUCAGAUUCCCAAGAGACACCACAGGCUGACACGGCCCACCUUUUGCAGCCACUGUGGGCUGACCGCCCUGGGUUGAGGCCUGGCCUGGGGGAAGCUGUGUAAACACAUGAGGGGCUGUGGAAGGGGAGCAGGACUGAAGAUGGAGGUGCACGACUCUGAGUGUGCACGUGCAUGUACCUGCCUGGGGAAGAGGAGUGGGGGGAUCUGAGGGGCUGGGAGAGGAAGCCCAGCUCUCCCUACAUUCUCACUGGCCCUCUUCUAACAGGAGCAGCCAGCAGCCACGAGGCUCCCCUCCAGUGGGGAAGUCAGUGGAGGGUGGACCUUGCCCACUCCCAGGCUCUGUCUACCCAGGGCCAGCACAGCCAGCUCUGAUCAGCUCUCUGGGAAGGCUGAAGUCUUUGUCUCUCCUUGAGCUAAUUUCUGGGGAUCCCAGCAUCCUGUAUAAACAAAACCAGGAUACCUAGAAUGUUCCUCUCUUCAAAAUACAGUUGCGACAAACACUGUGGCUGCAGGUUCCCUGGGGGAUGCUUUGCUGGGGUGGGAUACAUGGAGGCUUAGUUUCCUCUGCCUGCAGACCGUUGGCCC
Long non-coding RNA from Callithrix jacchus (white-tufted-ear marmoset), 3477 nucleotides. The record is from Ensembl. Lineage: Eukaryota; Metazoa; Chordata; Mammalia; Primates; Cebidae.